GAAAUGCGAUAAGUAGUGUGAAUUGCAGAAUUCAGUGAAUCAUCGAAUCUUUGAACGCACAUUGCGCCCCUCGGCAUUCCGUGGGGCAUGCCUGUUCGAGCGUCAUCUACACCCUCAAGCUCUGCUUGGUGUUGGGCGUCUGUCCCGCCUCCGCGCGCGGACUCGCCCCAAAUGCAUUGGCAGCGGUUCCUUGCCCCCCUCUUUGCGCAGCACAUUGCCAUUCGAGGCGGCGGCGGCCCGCGUCCAACAAGCUCAACCCCCCCGUCUUUGACCUCGGAUCAGGUAGGGAUACCCGCUGAACUUAAGU
This 307-nucleotide unclassified non-coding RNA is filed under the name plant metagenome. Its description in RNAcentral is "partial contains 5.8S ribosomal RNA, internal transcribed spacer 2, and large subunit ribosomal RNA". The stretch from base 1 to 105 matches the Rfam family "5.8S ribosomal RNA", at positions 50 to 154 of the family's 154-position model. The record is from RNAcentral.